GCCCAUAGUCCUGGAAUAGCUCAAGUUGGUAGAACAUAAGGCUCUUAAUCUCAGAGUCAUGGGUUCAAGCCCCACGUUGGGCA
Molecule: non-coding RNA, 83 nt
Organism: Podarcis lilfordi (Lilford's wall lizard)
Lineage: Eukaryota; Metazoa; Chordata; Lepidosauria; Squamata; Lacertidae
Source: the annotation of a GenBank genome assembly